AUGUUGUAGGGUAUGAGCUCAAAUCUUACCAAGUGCAAUUAUUCUCAUUUCCUCAGUUGGUGGUUAUGUGUCACACAUCGUUCAUCCUGACAAGGCACUACCACUUUGUUGAACUUGCUGCCUCUUCAAGCAGUCUUAGGCAGUUGGGAUCUCGUUAAAGUCAGGAGAUAAAACAUCAAUCAAGAACAAUAUCGGAUGUGUAGAGGGGUUCGCCAACUUCGGACGGACGAUACUUCAAAAACUUAUCCCAAAAGAGAUAUAAAUCCUUCAACCAAAGAAAAUAUAUUAUUUAAAUUAUUUUAGUAUUAUAUUGCAAAUUUGUGCUUCUCAAUUUUUUUUUCCUUCAAGGAAAUGAAUUUUGCAAAAUAAAAUGGGUAAAAUACACAUAUAUAAAUUUAUGCUUUAGAAAAAUUCAUUUCACCUUAAAAAAAUCAUUUUAAUCCAAAUUUGGUUCAUAGUUCUUAUUAUAAAAAUUUCUCAUAAAUUUGCUCAAAAUUGAUGACGUGGACUCGUUUAGUGUGUGCUUGAUUAGGUGGAAAAUGGAGAGAUAAAAAGGAUGGUGUAAAAAAGUGGAAAGAAAAUAAAUUUUGAAUAUGUUUGGUAGUGAAUAAUAGUAAAAGAAAAUAAGAGAAACGAAUAUUUUUCAUCAUAAUGCAUAAAAAUCAAUCCUUACAAGUUAGAAAUAUGAGGGUAGAGAAAAUCAGAAAGGGGUGUUAUUUUCUUUCCCUUCUAUUUUUCAACUCUACCAAGCAAUGGACAAAAAAAUAAUAAUGGACACUUGGCAUCUCGAGAGAACACCAGAAAGAUACCUAUAAAUAGUUUCC
This 824-nucleotide long non-coding RNA is filed under the name Gossypium raimondii (Peruvian cotton). RNAcentral describes it as "long non-coding RNA (GRAI_LNC004033)". Lineage: Eukaryota; Viridiplantae; Streptophyta; Magnoliopsida; Malvales; Malvaceae. The record is from RNAcentral.